AGUUAAGCGAUUCCCUGAUUCUCCUCUGGCGCUUAACUACUGAAGAGAUAAUUAUUUCGUUUCAGUUGGAUUUUUUCCCUAUUGCUGACAUUUUUUCUUUAAAUUUCAAUUAAAUCCAAGACGAUUCCGUCGCCCUCGACAGUCGUUUCCCCUUUAGAGCAGAUUAACGGUGAAAAUGCCAAGUAGGAGGAAGAGAGAAGCGUACCUAGUUGUAUAUAUUUUCAGAAGCAGUUAACUGAGUCGGGUCGCGCUUAUCGCUUUGUCCCCAACGGAAUUUGCUGCGAUUCGUAUUGGAUUUGCUGCCCAUUAAUGCUCGGCGGGAUGGGGAAAUGUGGGUGGUAGAGCAGAGAGUCUUUUAGAAACUUGUUCCGUUUCAAUAGGUUAUUUUAAUGAGCAGUCGUCACACGGUGAAUUCUUUUCCAUCCACGAAGAAGUCUCGAUUGAGCUUUUUUUCCUUUAAUUUGUGAAGAGAAGAAAGGAGAAAACUCGGAAUGAGACCUAUCUGCGAAUCGUCUGCAGCUAAUGAUUGCUUUAACCUAGAUUUUCCUGGGUGGAACGAUAAGAACACGUGAAGGAUUUUGCGAGUUUUCAGGGGGAGAAACAUUUCUUUUGGACUGCCAGAAAUUGAUGUUGCUGCCAAUGACAAAAGAAUAGAGAAAUCGAAUAUUAGAACAAAUUUAAUCAUAGUACUUGUCCAACUUUAGGGUGACCAUAUGAGGCGAGUAAAAAACCAGGACAGUCGAAAGAGGACUGCCUCCCCCCGUUCCCUAUCAAUCGACUGUGCCUUCUCCACAGGUUUUCGGCAGUUACAAAGAUCUUGGGUCGGACAGGCAGAGCUUCGGCAGUUAAAAAGUUCUGUGGGUCUGGGAGGAAGAGCUCUACCAGAAAUUUUUUCGUGGGAAUUCGAUCACCGUGCUUUUUAGGAUUUACACACACACGCGAAGUUCUUGCUACACCACCACCAGCGAAAGUUUCAUGCUUUUGUUGGAGAAAUCGGAAAUCCCGAAUUGAGCAAAUGAGACAAAUUAUUAUGAGAUCGUCUGUGCAGGAACAGGCGAGGAGUUUUCAGCACUAAAUGCACGUCAUUGAAGCAAAGCAGAAACAUCAAUGGUCCCAAGUAGCUUCCCUGCGCUAUAUCUGGCAAUCUCGAAUGACAACCAUUUUCUCUCGAUCUGAGAGCUAGGAUCGAAACAGUUGCAAAACCUACCUAUCAAAACCGGCGGUUAGGUUGAUGUUGGUAGUAUCAGCUUGAGCGCGACUGUCCAUACUCCCUGUUAUGUAGUAUACUUGACUUUGUUAGUCGCUGUUCACCGUCCAGCCAUGAAACCAUGCCCAUACGCGAAGCCAUGUAAAUUACUUAGUCCGCUUUCACUGGGUUUAUCGUUCUUGUCCAUGUUGUCCUCUGGAUGUUGUAUGGGUUUUCUUUCACGAUUACCUGGUUUGAGUCGUUUGUGGGACCAACGGGUCACGAUCGUGUAUCCGUAUUUUUUGUUAUUUACUUUAUUGUCGGGGGUGCUGGCAGUUGAUUGGUAAGCAGCAUCACAAUGAUCGGACACGCUGUGUGUAGAUUCUGUUGUUCCAGCAUUCGUUUAGUGGUUGAGUUGCAACUCCGGUUGCUGGUGAUAUAGUUAAUGUUAUUGGGUUUGCUCGCAAUUGAUGUUGUUUCAUUAGAGGCUUUCGCACAUUGUUUGGCACACAGGGAUCUGUCCUUCAUAUGUGCACAGUGUGAUUUGAGAUUUGCUUCUCACGAUACGAGCACCAUUGGAUAUACCUGGAAAAAAGUUUCUCCAGGUUUCAAACUUUAACCGUUACGUACUUCGACAACAAUAGUAAAUUUAUUCAGUACCGUAUUUACGCAUGGGCUCACUGGGCCAGGGCCAGGGGCCCCACACUUAGGAUAAAUAUAAAAUCAUUUUAAAGAUAUUGUUGACACCGCUGGGCAGUCACUGUAGGCAGUCGGUAAUACCGCAGUCGGCAAGACAGCCGAACCCAUGUCAAGUGAGACCACUCGCAAAGGUGAAAUAGUGAGGAAACGCUGUCAUGUGAGGAAAGAAAAAGAAGAAAAAAAGUUGAAUCAAAACAAACUAAGAAAUUGUGCGUGAGGAAAAUAGUCGGAGAAUAAUCUUUUUAUUGCGAAAAAUUAAGUUUAAGUAAAGUAAAAAUUCGAAGAUUUAGUUGUAGAGCAGUCUACUCUCUGUACUACUGUCGCCGUACGUGAAUUUGGACGGCUAGCAAAUUGAUAGUGCAGCAAGAAGAGGCUCAGAGGAGAUUAAAUCUGCUGAAUAUUUUAUCGCGCCACCCGAAUAACUGUCGUCGUUCGCUGAGUCGGACGACAAGCAAACCGAAGGAGUAGCAGGAGAGAAGAGGAGAAGGUGAAAUCAGGAAAGAUUCGACAUUGGAAGAACGAGGAUACUAUUUAAUUUUUGAGCUGCUGCUGAUAGUGCUGCUACAAAAAUAUAGUUUCUGGUUCAUCCGAACAGAUAUUUUAAAAAAUAGUCGCACUCAAUUGGUCAUAACUUUUUAGCGUGUGGCAACAACAAUGUACCGUUUGGUAGAUCACGUAUACAAAGUAUGGAAGAGGCACCGGACCUUAGCCAACUAACUAGAAAACCUUGUUUGGCAAGCGAUCUGCGAAUAUGGCAAAAUAUUUAUUUCUUCGUCACAUUCAGGUCCGUCAACCGACGAAUUCAAGUGGAAGUGCCCAAAAGUAACUUCAUGAGCUCUGGAAAGGAAGGUUUGACACUUUUUGGCCGGAUUUGGCAUGUUUCACUCUGCUCGAUUAGUCUUAGAUUGACACAGAACCAAUAAUGUUGUUUUUGCUACACUGCGCCCUAUCAAAAAAAAAUUAAUCUGUCGUGAGGACAAAGGUUCGUUAAAUCUCAAGAGAGAAGUUUAAAAAUGCCCUUGUGAAAGUGCCUACACACAUCAAUCCUAGCUUUACUCUAUAUUUGAUUAAAUGAGUCACUGCAAAUGUGCAUGCAUUUGAGGAUAUUUGAAGUAGCUGGGACAUUUUGUAGCUUAAAUUGUUUAUAAAUAUUCUUGUAUGGUGCAAA
Long non-coding RNA from Topomyia yanbarensis, 3053 nucleotides. RefSeq lists it as uncharacterized. The record is from RefSeq and is a predicted model, not a curated record. Lineage: Eukaryota; Metazoa; Arthropoda; Insecta; Diptera; Culicidae. The transcript has 5 exons.